RNAcentral lists this ribosomal RNA (495 nucleotides) under uncultured bacterium. Its description in RNAcentral is "partial 16S ribosomal RNA". It matches the Rfam family "Bacterial small subunit ribosomal RNA", at positions 28 to 507 of the family's 1533-position model. The record is from RNAcentral.
GACGAACGCUGGCGGCGUGCCUAAUACAUGCAAGUAGAACGCUGAAGGAGGAGCUUGCUUCUCUGGAUGAGUUGCGAACGGGUGAGUAACGCGUAGGUAACCUACCUGGUAGCGGGGGAUAACUAUUGGAAACGAUAGCUAAUACCGCAUAAGAGUAGAUGUCGCAUGACAUUUGCUUAAAAGGUGCAAUUGCAUCACUACCAGAUGGACCUGCGUUGUAUUAGCUAGUUGGUGAGGUAACGGCUCACCAAGGCAACGAUACAUAGCCGACCUGAGAGGGUGGACGGCCACACUGGGACUGAGAAACGGCCCAGGAUCCUACGGGAGGGAGCAGUAGGGAAUCUUCGGCAAUGGACGGAAGUCUGACCGAGCAACGCCGCGUGAGUGAAGAAGGUUUUCGGAUCGUAAAGCUCUGUUGUAAGAGAAGAACGAGUGUGAGAGUGGAAAGUUCACACUGUGACGGUAUCUUACCAGAAAGGGACGGCUAACUACGUG